Non-coding RNA from Choloepus didactylus (southern two-toed sloth), 1512 nucleotides. NCBI's taxonomy places the organism in Eukaryota, Metazoa, Chordata, Mammalia, Pilosa, Megalonychidae. The record is from the annotation of a RefSeq genome assembly.
UUCUCUCCAGACACUGGAACCAGCCGUGUCCUCCUGCCACUGACCUGAGACUCUGGCUAACAGGGUCUUCACCUCUUCCCUUCUUCUUGGGGACCCAGCCCGGUAGACAAGAUGCUACUACUGGAAGCCCUCAUCUUCUCCUCCCUCUGGGCUUUUGGUCUUGGGCAGUUAACGCUGGAGCAGCCUGAAGUAUCAGUUUCCACAGUGGCUGGUAAGAGUGUCCAAAUAUCUUGCAAAGUGACAGUCGACGACUUUGAAAAUACAUAUAUGCACUGGUACCAGCAGAAACCAAAUCAGACUUUAAUACAUCUACUAUAUAUUCUCUCAACAACAAUUCCUAACCGAGUUACCUUACGUGGGAGGACCAACAAACUCGAGGCACGUAAAGAUCCUCGCACUUCCACUUCAAUCUUGAAAAUAAAUUUCGUGGAGAAAGAAGAUGAGGCCAUGUACUACUGUGCAGGCUUGACCAUUGAUACCUCAGGCUUGAUCAAGGUAUUUGGAGAAGGGACAAAGCUCAUAGUAAUGCCUCCCGGUAAAAGCCAGGGUGCAGACCUUUCCCCCAAACCCACUAUGUUUCUUCCCUCAAUUGCUGAAACAAAUAUUUAUAAGGCUGGGACAUAUCUUUGCCUUCUUGAGAAUUUUUUCCCUGACGUCAUUAGACUACAUUGGGAAGGUAAAAAUGGCAAGACAAUUCCAGAAUCCCAUGACGGAAAAACAGUGGAGACUAAUGACACGUACAUGAAAUUUAGCUGGCUGACCGUGAAUGGGGCAUCGAUGAAUGAAGAACACAAAUGUGUAGUCAAACAUGAGAACAAUAAAGGAGGAGUUGAUCAAGAGAUUAUUUUUCCUCCAAUAAAUAAAGUUGCCAUUCAUGAUAAUUCCACAGAAGCUUGCUUGAAAGAUAAAAGUGAUCUCCUGCAGCUGCAGCUCAUGAGCACCUCUGCAUAUUACACCUACCUCUUCCUCCUCCUCAAGAGCACGGUCUACUGUGCCAUUGUUGUGUUCUGCCUGAGGAGAAGAACCGAGUUCUGUGGUUGUGGAAAGAGUCUGUGAGAGAUGGAGGCAUGAAGGAGCUCCCUGCUCCUCACCUUUACUGUCCCUGAAGCUUUCUGCUGGGGAUCUAGCUGGAUUUUCUUGCUGGUUUUGGUAAUUUCAGUUCACAUGUGUGUUUUUCUAUUAUGUCAUUACUGCAUACUGGUGUCUUAAAGCACUGGGAAAACCAAGAGAACAGUACCCUGUAAUAACAGAAACGUCUGCCACUACUCAGGGGCAGGGGUCGCCCUUGGAGCCUUUAGCACCAUCAUCUCCACAAUCCCUAGCAGCCCCUCCACCCCACUGAAAUAAUCAGCUUUCUGAGUAUGACAGCAUGCCCCUUAGUGUCCCUUCAUGUCCCUUAACCAAUGACUGCCUUAAGGCCCUCCAUUCACACAGCCUGAAGCCACCAGCUUUGCCACUUGGAUUCUGUAUUUUGUUUUUCAUAUAUAGGCACAAUAAAUUUUUUAAAAAAUA